AUUGAACGCUGGCGGCAGGCCUAACACAUGCAAGUCGAGCGGAUGAGUGGAGCUUGCUCCAUGAUUCAGCGGCGGACGGGUGAGUAAUGCCUAGGAAUCUGCCUGGUAGUGGGGGGCAACGUUUCGAAAGGAACGCUAAUACCGCAUACGUCCUACGGGAGAAAGCAGGGGACCUUCGGGCCUUGCGCUAUCAGAUGAGCCUAGGUCGGAUUAGCUAGUUGGUGAGGUAAUGGCUCACCAAGGCGACGAUCCGUAACUGGUCUGAGAGGAUGAUCAGUCACACUGGAACUGAGACACGGUCCAGACUCCUACGGGAGGCAGCAGUGGGGAAUAUUGGACAAUGGGCGAAAGCCUGAUCCAGCCAUGCCGCGUGUGUGAAGAAGGUCUUCGGAUUGUAAAGCACUUUAAGUUGGGAGGAAGGGUAGUAACCUAAUACGUUGCUACUUUGACGUUACCGACAGAAUAAGCACCGGCUAACUUCGUGCCAG
This 488-nucleotide ribosomal RNA is filed under the name uncultured bacterium. RNAcentral's name for it is "bacterial SSU rRNA". It matches the Rfam family "Bacterial small subunit ribosomal RNA", at positions 30 to 511 of the family's 1533-position model. The record is from RNAcentral.